GAAGUCUAACAUGUGCGCGAGUCAUUGGGUUAAAAACCUAAAGGCGGAAUGAAAGUAAAGGGAGCUUUGCUUUCCGAGGGAGGAUGGGCACGUCAGCUCAAGGGCGGUGCCCCGCACUCCCGGGGCGUCUCCUUCUCAUUGCGAGUAGAGGCGCACCCAGAGCGUACACGUUAGGACCCGAAAGAUGGUGAACUAUGCCUGGUCAGGACGAAGCCAGGGGAAACCCUGGUGGAGGUCCGUAGCGAUUCUGACGUGCAAAUCGAUCGUCAGAGCUGGGUAUAGGGGCGAAAGACUAAUCGAACCAUCUAGUAGCUGGUUCCCUCCGAAGUUUCCCUCAGGAUAGCUGGUGCUCGCGUGAGACGAGUCUCAUCCGGUAAAGCGAAUGAUUAGAGGCCUUGGGGCCGAAACGACCUCAACCUAUUCUCAAACUUUAAAUAGAUGAGAACUCCGGCUUGCUUGAAAGUGAAGCCGGAGACUCGGAUCAGAGUGCCCAGUGGGCCAAUUUUG
RNAcentral lists this ribosomal RNA (507 nucleotides) under Ctenipocoris sp. Colombia RWS-2021a. RNAcentral's name for it is "partial large subunit ribosomal RNA". It matches the Rfam family "Eukaryotic large subunit ribosomal RNA", at positions 670 to 1139 of the family's 3401-position model. The record is from RNAcentral. Lineage: Eukaryota; Metazoa; Arthropoda; Insecta; Hemiptera; Naucoridae.